RNAcentral lists this unclassified non-coding RNA (471 nucleotides) under Hevea brasiliensis (rubber tree). Lineage: Eukaryota; Viridiplantae; Streptophyta; Magnoliopsida; Malpighiales; Euphorbiaceae. The record is from RNAcentral.
GCCACCCCUAAACAAUCCAAUGUUAUUCAUUUCAAUAGAAUUUUAUCUCAAAAUUCUCAGCUCUAAUAAUUCUUGAACUACAAACACACAUUCAUAAAGUUCCCAUGAAUUGUGAUGAAACAAAAAUCCCUAAAACUAAGAAUGUCAUUUGUGUUUAACUAACCCAAAAACCCUUUUAUCCAGCCUGAAAUUUUGAGAUAAGCUUUAUGUGAGUUGACUUUGGUCAAGAAAAUUCACGGUGACCCAAAUUUGGUCAAAUAAAAUGAGGCACAAUAAAAAUUUGGGCCAAGCUUACCUUAGAUCUUUUUGACUUUGGCCUGGCUCAAAUGUAAAGUACAAUGUGUGCUUAUGUGUGUGUGCAUGUAGAUUUCAUUAUUUAUUUACAUACACGUAUUAAAAUAUAAAGAAAACAUUUCAAAUUUUAAAAGAAACCCAAUAUGUAAAUGUACCAUGGAACCUCCUGCAGCUGUA